Tetranychus urticae (two-spotted spider mite) is the source of this 428-nucleotide long non-coding RNA. RefSeq lists it as uncharacterized. The record is from RefSeq and is a predicted model, not a curated record. NCBI's taxonomy places the organism in Eukaryota, Metazoa, Arthropoda, Arachnida, Trombidiformes, Tetranychidae.
AAUUCUAAUGAUUAAUAACAAUGAAAAAUACAUUUUCAACGGUCUAGUGAUUGAAUGAGAAUAAAGAUUCACUAAAUAUCUGUUUGCAAAGCAUUAAAAUAAUCUAUCGCAAAGUUACUGUUGUUACUAUUGUGGUUGUUUUCUCAUCGAAUUUUGAAUAUUGUGUUAAAAAUGCAAAAAAAUAAUUUAACUAUUGGUGCUUUUUCGGUGCCAUUUGCUCGAGGAUUUGCUGAGAAAGAUGGUCAAAUAAUUCCUAGAUUGGCGUCUCUUAAACUCUUCCAAGCGAUUCAUUCUGAUCAGUUCAAUUUGCAAUUCAUUUUACCCGAGGAAGGACAAUUGGGUGUACUAACAGAAACUGGUUAUCAUGAUGGAGUUUUGGGUCUAAUGCAAGAAGGGGUAAGUCAUGUCAAUGCACAAAUCAUAUUUAU